Molecule: ribosomal RNA, 433 nt
Filed under: uncultured bacterium
Lineage: Bacteria
Description: partial 16S ribosomal RNA
Rfam family: Bacterial small subunit ribosomal RNA
Source: RNAcentral
AACGAACGCUGGCGGCAUGCCUAACGCAUGCCAGUCGAACGAGACCUUCGGGUCUAGUGGCGCACGGGUGCGUAACGCGUGGGAACCUGCCCUUAGGUUCGGAAUAACUCCCCGAAAGGGGUGCUAAUACCGGAUAAUGUCUUCGGCCCAAAGAUUUAUCGCCUUUGGAUGGGCCCGCGUUGGAUUAGCUAGUUGGUAGGGUAAAAGCCUACCAAGGCGACGAUCCAUAGCUGGCCUGAGAGGAUGAUCAGCCACACUGGGACUGAGACACGGCCCAGACUCGUACGGGAGGCAGCAGUGGGGAAUAUUGGACUAUGGGCGAAAGCCUGAUCCAGCAAUGCCGCGUGAGUGAUGAAGGCCUUAGGGUUGUAAAGCUCUUUUACCCGGGAUGAUAAUGACAGUACCGGGAGAAUAAGCUCCGGCUAACUCCGUG